UGGAGGUUCCCAGGCUAGGGGUCGAACUGGAGCUGUAGCCGCCGGCCUAUGCCACAGCCACAGCAACGUGGGAUCCAAGCUGCAUCUGCGACCUACACCACAGCCCACAGCAACACCAGAUCCUUAACCAAGUGAGCAAGGCCAGGGAUCAAACACGCAACCUCAUGGUUCCUAGUUGGAUUCGUUAACCACUGAGCCAUGCCGGGAACUCCAAAUUGUAGCUAUUUUUAUCAUUAAACAUUAUUGAACAAUGUAGAUAAAGGUACAUAGUUACAACUGUGAAUUUGUAUUUUAUUACAAUUUUAAUCGUAUAUAUGCACACGUGUUUACUCAUACUUUCAAUAGAGGUUAUCUCUGCAACAAGGGCCUGAAAAAAUCAGAGAGGGGAGAAAAUACAUUUCUCCAUUUUUCAUUAUGUUCCCUUCUGAAAUCUUUUAUUCUUUUUUAAGCAAAAGCAUGGAAAACCUUUACAAUAAAAACUGAUGAAAAACCUUGCUACAUAAAAUAAAUUGUUAAAGUUAUUCUCAAAGCUUAGCAUAGUUAAAUGGAAAUCAAUGUACAGAAAAAAGUAAAGAACCAGGUUUGUUAGCACAGAAAAGAAGAGAAUUGGGCUAAGAGGAGAAGAAGUAUCUUUACUCAAAAUUGAUAAGGGUUGCCAUGUGGAAGGGGAUUGGAUUUAUUUUCUACCUAGAGGGCGGAAAGGCUGAUUUUUGUCUAAAUAAAAGAAGGGGCUCUAUACCAAUUAGAGCAGUCCAAAGGUACCACCUCAGAAGGCAAUGAAGGGUCCCUGAAGGCUGCAUGGACUCCCCUUCUACGUCUAUGAAGCAUAGCUGUCUCCAGGCAUUUGAAAUUUAACAUGAAUUAGAUGAACCAUCCUUGCCUUCAACUUUCAAUACCCUUAAGUGGGCAGAUAUUUCUAAGUAAUACCAGUGCAUAUAUGCUGAUGAUAUUUCAAUGAAUUAUGAAUUUAUCCAAGUAAAUAAUUCAUAAGGUUAAAGCCAGAUUCAAAUGCGGACGCUGUGUUUAAACACUACCAAGAUGGUAUUUGUUAAGGACAGUUUUUGUUUUCAAUCAGAUUCAUAUAAGGCAGGAAAACAUUUUAACAUUCAUUAUUUGUAUACUUUCUAAAAAGCAUUUUAGCACUCUUCAUUAUCCUUAUACUUUUAUAUUUCUGCUGCUUUAUGGCUUGUCAUUAUGAACUUGAUAAGUAAAGCCUAAUGUUAUAACACUUUAUGACUCAAGAUUGGGCCUUUUAGUUUUGUGGAUUCUACUUUCCAUGGAAGGUGAAAUGCACACAGGAGGAAUGUGGAGGCUCUGUGCUAAUGAAUCAGGAUAGCUGCAGUGUCAUUUGGGAUGUGAGAGGAUGACCUUCAAAUGACAAUCUUCUAGAGAAUAAUUUGAAUGAAGAGGAAGUGAGACAGGACAGGCAGAGAGCCCUGCAAGAUAAGUUCAGCAAGGGGGCUGCUCUGGAAUUUACCUUGAGUUUGUUGACUUAGGAAGUCAUAACACUUCCUCUGAACAUCUGCCACUCAUCUAAGAACAGAGGGGAAAAUCAAAGUAGAUAAUAUUGUUUCUAUUUCCACGAUGAUGUUACACUUAGUUGGGGGGGGGGGGUACUUAGACCUUAGAGUCAGAAGACUCAAAUCUGGCUGUCACUAAUUUGCUAUUUUACCUUGAACAAGUCUCCUGCCAUCUGUAAGAAUGUUUCCUCAUCUCAUAAACUGGAAGGGCACAGACAGCAAAAUGUAGAAAAAGUGUAAAUGCAUUCUCAUGUUGUUUUGAGCCUCAAACUUAAAAACUUAGGCUCUAUGGUAAGAACAACUAUGAUGAGUCUCCUUUCUUAAAUGUGGAACAGGCUUGAAACAUUUCUAGGUUUUCCAGCUAGUAACAAUAGUGCAGAGGUGGGAUUCUAAGUCUUUGAGUACAGACACAUGCUCCCUAUCCAGCUAAGAGAAUUCGGGGGAAAUGAAAUAAGAGAGACGUCCAAGUGUUCUAUCUAUCAUAAAUAGCAAUACAAAUAUAAGGUAUUUUUAAGACUAAGCUUUAAAUUCUCUAAGGGACUUUGACAUAGUUUUUCCAUUCUUAAACAUUUCUGUUAGAGCAAAAGCCCCAUGAACCACCUACCCUAUUCAGCAAGUCAUAGUACCAUAGCUGAAUACAUGGGCAGAACAACUGCGGGUUUAGAAGUGAUCCAUGAGUUUAAUUAACUAUCUUAAAUAAAUGGAAAUAUUUACACUGCACAAAGCCACUCUUUGAAACUCUUAUAAGAACUAUAAUGAGACAAGACAGAUAAAGUUGCCUAGUAAAUGAAAACCUGCUAAGCACUACAAAAAAGCCCACUCUGAGGACCCAAUUCCUUAUCCAAACAGCAUUCUUCCAAAAUGCAAGCUGAAACCAAGCCACAAUAUUCUCCCAGCCUAAAGGGGUUGGGUGGUGAAUCCUGCAACCUCUUCAUGGAAUCGUCAUUUGAUCACUGGAAGAAUCAGCUCCUAGCAACAGCACUUUAGAGAUAACAGUAUUCUUAAUAAAAAUGCUUUUUCAUUACAACAAUUUAUCAAAGCAAUUCAUUCUUUUCUCUAAACCUAUUGUAAAAGUCUGACUGCAUUUCAAAAAAUUCUCAAAAAGCUAGGACUUGGCAUAAACUGCUCUGUGUUCAAGUUACCGCCCCUAUUGUAUGAUGCUCCCCUCAAGGUCACAAGUGUCUCAUUUACUACUGUAUCCCCUACAUGUUGAAUUUAUUCUAGAAUGUAACAUACUUUAAAAACAAAUUCCAAUUCUCAAAAUGAAAAUCUGUAUGAAAAUGAAAAUAUACAAAAUUUAAUACUUCAUUUCCCUGAAGUGAAGCUCCUCUAUACUCACUUGGAAAUAUUCGUUUUCACUUCAGUUACUUGUUUAUAUGCACACUAUGUUCCAAAAAAGAUUAUAGUGGUAUCAUUUAGAGUACAUGAAAUUUUUUUACGAUUUAAAGAGUAGCGCAUUCAGUCAAAAGAUGGUUUGUACUUUUAUAUAUCACAUAUUUGUAAAAACAUAAAUCAAAUAACCAUGUACAACACCAAUACCAAAGCCCCUGAAACCAUCAGUCCCUUGGAGAUAAUUUUAGCUUUUAAUUCAAAAUGGUCUGGAGAAAACAUCCCACAAAUACUUUAUUUAAAUUCAAUAAGAGCUUGUACAGGUAAAAUUACUUUUCAGCCUGGAUAACUUCACAUUUGUGGACAAUAUUUCAUCCCACUUAUGGAAUGAGGAAAACAGAAAAUAGUAACCCAGAAAAAGUCAUUACACAAUUAAAAGAAAUAAAAAUUUGCUUGCAAAGUGCAGACAUUAAAUUCAGUUUGAUUUCAUUACUGCCCAAACAACUCAACGUGAAUCUUUCCUCUGGAGUCCUCAGUUGCCCAGUACUAAAGUGACCAAUAGAGAACAAACCACUGAGCACCUCAAUUAUAAAUUAAUCCUCCUGUUCUAGUUCCUUGAAAAGGUAAGCAAACAGCUAUAAUAACAUUCCUGGUUCAACAUGGAUAUAUUAAAUAACUGUUUUGCUAUGGAAAUCGCCAAAAGAGCAUUUUCAAGAGAAAAUCCAACUUGCUAAAACGCUUUCUAAAAAAGACAGUUGCGAGCCCAGAUGCAAAGUUUAGAGGCAUCUCCAUUUUCCUUACAGGUAGAGGUUUAUGAAAUAUUAAUGCACUCGGUGGAAAAGUAUAAAGAUAAACGAAAUAAAAGCCAACAACAGAGGAAAUAAAUUUCAUUGUGCAAAUCAUAAACACAGUGUAAAAGAGCUCUAGAUCCCAGGUAAAAUGUGCUCAAGAAAGGUAACAGCAUUAACCCUAGCAGACAGCAGGGAGACAAGAGGCAGAGCUUUACAGAAUUGCAAAUAACAUCAUCAUUAUGAGAAUAAUUAUUGCAAUAAAUACCGUCAGCAGGCUGCAAAAGCAAUCAACACACUUGGUCCUUCACCUCUCUCCCUCCUCCAGCUGGGUAGUGAAAGCAGCUGCCUCUCCCCGCCCCCUUCCCAGCCGCUCCUCGCGCCACUCCCUCCCCAUCCGGUCCACACCUCCCCUCCCCUUUCCCCUCCUCUCCCCGCCCCCAGCUGGUGUAUUCAGCAGCCUAGCGAGAUUAAGAGGCGCUCUCUACGGCCACUGGGCCUCCGGACUGAUCUAACGUUUCCUAGCUCCCUUGACUAGAGAAAUUAGAGACGCAAACCCUGGUGGUGUUAGGUGCCUUCGCCUUCAUCCUGUCCUCUCCUAAGCUGGGACUGGGGUGGGAGCUAGUGGACUGGGCCGCAACUGGAGGGCCCAGCAGAGUUCCGCUGGGCAAUGCCCGCCGCCGCGCUACCUGAGCUGUCCAUGGUGCUGGCGCGGUCCUGAGGCUGCCGGGCGGGACUCCGCGCCGCCGCUGCCGCCACCCCGGCGUUCACUCUCGGCUUGCCGCCUCCCCCGCCGCUCCCUGCACUUAAGUCCCCGUUACUGUCCACCAGCUGCAAGGAUUCAUAACCAUCGUUGCUAGUCUUUUUCCGGUAGCUUCCGAGGAGGCUCAUGGACAAGCCCAAAAAAGAAGGGGAAAAAAAAAAACAAAACAAAACAAUCUGGGGAGAUGAAGGGGGAGGUGGAAGGUGGAAAAGGCUAAAGGAGAAAAAAAAAUUUUAAGGGGGGGAAAAAAAAAUCAAGUGCCCCACAUGACGCAAAGAGGAGGGAAAGAGGGAGCGGCCAACGGAGAGGAGCUUUGCCGGCGCGGCGAAGCCACCGCCCUGGGCAGAGCGCAGCUCUGGGCACCCGGCGCUAGGGCGCGAGGGAGGGAGGACGCGGGUGGGCGGGUGUGCGCGUCCCCGGGGCUGCCGUCGUGGAACCGCCGGCCGUGCUGAGCUCCGGACCCCGGGCCAGCCGCCCUCUGGCUGGGGAGUGCCCGGAAGCAAUCCUAUAGGUGUCGCCGCGUCGCCCCGCCGCGCAGCAGGGCAGCUCCAAGCGUGGCUGGCCCGCGGGGAGGGAAGGAAAGAGGGAGUAGGGAGCGGAGAUUCUCGGGGAGGGGGGCUGAAGGCAGAAAACGGGGCGGGGUGGGAAGGGGAGGGGACUACUACGGCUAGAGUAGAGGGUGUUUUCGCGCAAGGGAGGUGAAGAAGAAAGGGGCUCGGUGUCUGCCUGGUAAGCUUUAGGGACGAGGGGGGUCUCUUGGUAAGAUCCAGACACGCCCAUUUUGUAUACCUUAGCCUAUAUUUACUGGAAGAUUCGGCGAGUCAAGCCACCCCUGCAGUUGCCCUCCUGCAGGACUGACUUGCAACUCAGCUGAACAGAAAAAGAACGCAUGUUCUGCCAGGCUAUAUGUAUGCCAAGAAAGAAAGAAACAGCAUUGUCGUGCACAUUUCUCAGAAUGAGUAAGAUCGCUGAGAGAUCAAAGGCCUGGCUAGUUUAACGCUAGGAGGCAGUUAGAGUCCAUUCCACCUAGUGAGUAGAAGUGACUGUUUAAUAACUAUUUGUUGAACGAAAAAAAUUGGCGGAGUGGGGGAGCAAGGUUGAAUCAGGAGCGAUUUCAGCUCUGACAUCAUUUACCUUGGGACCUGGAGAAAUGUCAAUACCACUCAGCUGGCUUGAGGGGACUGGUGGAAAGCCAGCUAGACAAGGAUUUUCCUUCUAGUCUCUGGCCCUUCCCUCUUUUCUUUCACAAUUCUGAGCACAGAGAGCAGCCACUCAUUAAUCAGAGAAGAAUUUAUCAACAAGUUAAUGAAUCAUAAGAGUGAGGACCCCGUUUUUGAAGAAGCCCCUUUCAAAGCUGUGCAUCUAAUUUUAUAUUCAUGGUUUUGUAUUCUUAAAGAGGAGCCCAACAUUGUUAUCAGUUUCAAGCCUUAUGAAACCUGGUUUAACUGUUAAGUCUCCAAAUACAAUUACCAAAUGUUCCUUUUCACCUCAAACAAUAAGAGUACAGAAGUAUCCUGCAUUCUCAUCAUUUCAGGUGAAGACCAGGUGAAAACCUUGGUUUAAAAUGACCUUUUUCGGAGUUCCUGUC
Molecule: long non-coding RNA, 5988 nt
Filed under: Sus scrofa (pig)
Lineage: Eukaryota; Metazoa; Chordata; Mammalia; Artiodactyla; Suidae
Description: lncRNA (ENSSSCG00050026918.1)
Source: RNAcentral